AUGGCGGAGCCGGGCCCCGAGGAGGAGGAGCUGGCGCACGCCGAGGUGCUCGAGCUGUUCCAGGAGGGGCUGGCCCGCCUCGUGCAGGACCCGCUGCUCUGCGACCUCCCCGUGCAGGUCACCGUGGAGGAAAUCAAUUCUCAGAUUGCGCUGGAGUAUGGCCAAGCCAUGACUGUGCGAGUGUGCAAGGCGGAUGAAGAAGUUAUGCCUGUAGUAGUGGUACAGAAUGCCAGUGUCCUGGACCUGAAGAAAGCUAUCCAGCGAUAUGUGCAGCUGAAGCAGGAGCGGGAAGGGGGCAUACAGCACAUUAGCUGGACCUACAUAUGGAGAACAUAUCACUUAACCUUUGCUGGAGAGAAAAUGACAGAUGACAAAAAGAAGCUGCGAGAGUACGGCAUCAGAAAUCGUGAUGAGGUCUGCUUUAUAAAGAAACUUCAGAAGUGAACUUACAGCUCCAGUUUUUCUGCCUGAAAAGGACUAACUCCAGGUUGUUACUGCAGCAGGACCAGCCUGCAGAUUCAGCAUCUUUCCAGAAGAGAAACUUGUGGCAUUUCAAAGAGCAAAUGCAGGCGGCAAUAAAAAUUCUGAUAGCAACUGAAUCACUACCCAAUCAACAUUUUGGAAGAAUUCUCUGAAGGUUCUCACCCAGCUGUGCCACCUUGCUAGAAAACCUCUGAAGUCCAGGAUAUCUAUGGUAGCAUUCUCUGAAGUGAUUCCAGUUCCACGCACAGGGCCAGAUAGAACUGCAGAGGCUCAGUGUGCAGAUGAGCCCCUAGUGUAGGGAGGAGGGUUUAGAUUUAUUAGGAACUGGGGAACCUUUGGGGAAAGGAGAAGCCUAUACAAGAAGGAUGGGCUCCAACAAAACCACAAUGGAACCAGACUGCUGGUAUGUAAAAUUAAAAAGGUUGUAGAGGAGUUGUUAAACUGAGGGCUAGCCAACAGGUUCAGAGAGAGACAUCCCUUAGGGGAGGAACUGUUAACAGGGAUGCUCUAUAGCAGUGGCCCCCAAACUUUUCAGGGUCAUACCCCUUCUUUACCUCUGUUCCCCCUGAGCUGCGGGGACGGAGCCCUGGGCACAGGGCUGGCAGCUGGGU
RNA transcript from Gopherus flavomarginatus (Mexican gopher tortoise), 1094 nucleotides. It is a transcript of the gene named small nuclear ribonucleoprotein U11/U12 subunit 25, with no coding region annotated. The record is from RefSeq and is a predicted model, not a curated record. NCBI's taxonomy places the organism in Eukaryota, Metazoa, Chordata, Testudines, Testudinidae. The transcript is spliced from 7 exons.